GUCCACGCCGUAAACGUUGGGCACUAGGUGUGGGACUCUAUCGACGGGUUCCGUGCCGUAGCUAACGCAUUAAGUGCCCCGCCUGGGGAGUACGGCCGCAAGGCUAAACUCAAAGGAAUUGACGGGGCCCGCACAAGCGGCGGAGCAUGUGGCUUAAUUCGAUGCGACGCGAAGAACCUUACCUGGGUUUGACAUGUAGGGAAAGCCGUAGAGAUACGGUGUCCUUCGGGGCCUUACACAGGUGGUGCAUGGCUGUCGU
RNAcentral lists this ribosomal RNA (259 nucleotides) under uncultured bacterium. RNAcentral's name for it is "partial 16S ribosomal RNA". It matches the Rfam family "Bacterial small subunit ribosomal RNA", at positions 793 to 1055 of the family's 1533-position model. The record is from RNAcentral.